CAGCCGCCGCGGGAAUACGAAGGGUGCAAGCGUUAAUCGGAAUUACUGGGCGUAAAGGGUGCGUAGGCGGUUGUUUAAGUCUGUUGUGAAAUCCCCGGGCUCAAUCUGGGAAUGGCAAUGGAAACUGGACGGCUAGAGUGCGGUAGAGGAUAGUGGAAUUUCCGGUGUAGCAGUGAAAUGCGUAGAGAUCGGAAGGAACAUCUGUGGCGAAGGCGACUAUCUGGGCCAACACUGACACUGAGACACGAAAGCGUGGGGAGCAAACAGGAUUAGAUACCCCAGUAGUCCCUGUCUCUUAUAC
Molecule: ribosomal RNA, 301 nt
Filed under: uncultured bacterium
Lineage: Bacteria
Description: partial 16S ribosomal RNA
Rfam family: Bacterial small subunit ribosomal RNA
Source: RNAcentral